AUUAGCUCAAUUUAAUUGAGUAUUGAGGUUUGGAUCAAGUCUAAUUGAAUUGGAUUCAAUUAGAUUUGACCGAAUUAGAUUAUUUGAUGACCUAAUCGCUAGAUGUUUGAUUCCUGAUUUGAUCAGAACUUGAGCUCGAUUAAUUUUUGAUUUGAUCAAGAUUUAAUUGAGUUAUUUGUGUGCCUAAUUAGAUUAGGUUCAUAUAUCUAAUUGGAUCUAAUCUAAUUUGAUUUAAUUAGGACUUAAUUGGAUC
This 253-nucleotide long non-coding RNA is filed under the name Elaeis guineensis (African oil palm). RNAcentral describes it as "long non-coding RNA (EGUI_LNC013349)". Lineage: Eukaryota; Viridiplantae; Streptophyta; Magnoliopsida; Arecales; Arecaceae. The record is from RNAcentral.